GUGCUCACUUUGGCAGCACAUAUACUACAACUGGAACAAUACAGAGAAGCUUAGCAUGCCCCCUGCUCAAUUAGAAUACUUUUAUAAGGGAGUACAAGACCCUACCA
Molecule: small nuclear RNA, 107 nt
Filed under: Salvator merianae (Argentine black and white tegu)
Lineage: Eukaryota; Metazoa; Chordata; Lepidosauria; Squamata; Teiidae
Source: RNAcentral